Molecule: RNase P RNA, 215 nt
Filed under: Gammaproteobacteria bacterium
Lineage: Bacteria; Pseudomonadati; Pseudomonadota; Gammaproteobacteria
Description: partial RNase P RNA component class A
Rfam family: Bacterial RNase P class A
About the family: Ribonuclease P (RNase P) is a ubiquitous endoribonuclease, found in archaea, bacteria and eukarya as well as chloroplasts and mitochondria. Its best characterised activity is the generation of mature 5'-ends of tRNAs by cleaving the 5'-leader elements of precursor-tRNAs.
Source: RNAcentral
GGAGUUAGCUAGGUAAUCGCUGCUUUGGCAGAGGAAAGUCCGGGCUCCAUAGGGCAGAGUGCCAGGUAACGCCUGGGGGGCGUGAGCCCACGGCAAGUGCAACAGAAAGAAAACCGCCAAGUUUUCUUGGUAAGGGUGAAAUGGUGCGGUAAGAGCGCACCGCGCAGCUGGUAACAGUUGUGGCAAGGUAAACCCCACUCGGAGCAAGACCAAAU